This is a non-coding RNA of Potamilus streckersoni, 82 nucleotides long. The record is from the annotation of a GenBank genome assembly. Lineage: Eukaryota; Metazoa; Mollusca; Bivalvia; Unionida; Unionidae.
GCUAUGGUGGUCUAGUGGUUAGAGCAUCCGCCUCAGAUGCAGGAGGCAGUGGGUUCAAGCCCUGCGCGAAUCAUGCCAAACA